Molecule: non-coding RNA, 5243 nt
Organism: Phalacrocorax carbo (great cormorant)
Lineage: Eukaryota; Metazoa; Chordata; Aves; Suliformes; Phalacrocoracidae
Source: RefSeq, a predicted model, not a curated record
GUUCAUGAUCCAUCCUGGAGGUCUUUUCCAACCUUAAUGAUUCUAUGAUUCUGUGAUCUUUCCAGUACUCCCUGAUUUUCCCACUCUCUAGCCCUGCCCCAUGGCUGUUGUUCCACAGGGCAGUAAGGCUUGCUGAAACAUAAGGUUUUAAUAAACUUUUGCACAACCUUCUCCACUCAGUUUCCCAGAAGCACUAAGCCUCACCCAAGGUUUUAGUCUCAAUUAUCCCAACAAUGGGAACAAAUUGUUCUGCAGAGAUGUCGGUGGACACACAUUUACUCCUGUGUCAUAUCUUGUACAAUAGCUGGGAAGGGAGUUUAAAGCAGUGUUAGUUGGAUAAUUGAAGACAGACUUGGGUCAGAUUUUCAGCUCUGCUCUGCUCUUUUCAAGUAUUUCUUUUUUUAAUGUUUCAAAGGUGGCAGGACGUUUCGGGACCUGAACUGUGGAAAGCCAAGAGGACAGCACAACUGCGAGGUGGAAGAACAGCCCCAGACAGUUCAUCUGGAGCCACCACAGGGAAUCCAGGCAGGAUGAACUUUGAAGCCAUUUUCUGCCAAUGUGCCUUUGCCACCGGCCCUGAACCCAAAAGCCAAAAGGAAGAUGCAAAAUGCUGUGACGUGGGAUGGAUAGCUGCGAUUUACCAGCUGGACCCAAAGGCCACAAAUCACCAGGUCUGCAGCUAACACUGCUCAAGAGAUGCUUUGUAUUCUCUGGCACACGGACAAUCCCUGCACAGAGGAAAGAAAUAUCCCCCCUGGGUCAAGAGAAGCAUAAAAAGAAAGAUGAGAGUGAUACACACGUCUAAUUCAGGAGCAAUAUUUUGUGGGUCUUCAUAUUUACUGCUUGGGAAAGUGUGAGGCAUUGGUAAAACUGCAUCUGGAUUAUCUCCUCCAGGCCUGGUUGGUCCUGGCCAUGAAUGAGUCAUUCAGACCAAGCAGGUGCAGUGAAGUGCCAGGACAUGGACGGGAGGAUGGAGAACUUGUCAUCCAAGGGGAGGCUGUAGAUCUUGGCUUUUUUAGCUCAGCACAACAGUGGCCGAGGGGGAAAAUGAGUGCUGUUGCACAUGAAAGGGAAAAAUAGCUGGGAGCAAAAAGAAACACUGGAGUGAAAGAAAAAAAUGUUGGCACAAGAACAAAUAGGUUUUAAUUGGCCUGGAGUAAAUUUAGUCUGGAAAUUAGAUGAAGUUUCCUAAGCAUCAGAUCAGCAAAGUCCUGGAACAGGCUUCCAGGGGCUGUGAAAACAGAGCUUGCUCAGAUGACAAGUCAGUUUAGCUGCAGUGGUGGCUAUGAGAACAGGGAGCUCUGCCUGGUGAGCCAGCAGGCUAGCACCCUUGGCACCCAUGUUUCUAAGGAGAUAGGGGAGACACAGUCCCAGAGAAUGAUCUUUCAACCAAAGGAUUGGUAGUGCUUGGACCAUAGCUGUAAGGUAGAGCUGUAAGGCACUGGCAGAUAAUUUGCAGAUGAAGAAAUACUCCACCAUGGGGAACUCUUUGGUCCAUCUUCCUUUUAAGCUUGCAAGGUCUCUCUGCUGCUCUAAAAAUGUGAUUUAUGCCUAAUCUGGUUAGCUGUGACCCAUCUGCCCUGUCUGUCCUUUCAUCCCUGCUCAGCCUGCCAACCAGGUGAGAUACUUGGCUUCCAGGAAAGAGACCAGAACCAGGAAAAUCACCAGCCCAGACUGAUAAACUACAGCUAUGAUAAACUUAUUUUCUGUUCCUUGUGACUUGGACCUGCAAGGUUAACCUGGAGAGUCUCGUGACAACAUUUGCAUGGGUGUAAAUGUCCCUAUGUCCUUACUUAUUCAAGAAUUACCAAGAUUAGAGGGACACAUAAUCUGAACUUGGACUUCAGCUGCUCUGGAGUUUGCUGGGGUCAAGGCAGAUGCAAUGUUUUGCCUUGAGUCCAUCUCCUCUGAAUGCCUCACUGCCCAGGUACUCCCCCUUUAAAUCAGCUUGAUGUGAUUGCCUGUAAUCACACAACAAAAUCCCAGAAGCCAAGGCAAUGGACCCAGAAGCCCUAAAUGCAUGUCUUUGAUUUGCAUCUUUUUGAUGCCACCUGGCACCCCUCAGAUAAACUUCUGUAAUUAUAGAAUCACAGAAUCAUUAAAGUUGGAAAAGACCUCCAGGAUCAUCAAGUCCAACCAUCAACCCAACACCACCAGGUCUCCUAAAGCAUGCCAUAGUGCCACGUCUACAUGUCUUUUAAAUACUUCCAGGGACGGUGACUCCCCCACCUCUCUGGGCAGCCUGUGCCAGGGCCUGACCGCUCUGGCAGGGAAGGCAUUUUCCCUCACAUCCAACCUAAACCUCCCCUGACGCAGCUUGAGGCCAUUUCCUCUCAUCCUGUCACUGUGAGGCUCUCCUCUUCUCUCACUGUGGCCCAGGGCACAAGACUCACCAUUGGAGGUGCAGCCAAGUAACCUGCCCAGCUGCUUGGAGGAAUGUCAAGCUGAAGUGUUCUCCAUUGUUCCCUGUUAUGGGUUGGACCAGAGUGUUUUUGUGGUAACUGAGAACCAAUAGAUAGGAAGGACAGGUUGUGAGCUGCUCUGUUUCCACAUGCUCUGCCUACCCUGGGCUUUCAGGUUGUUGAGUCAAAGGCAGACGACAGCUCCGUGUGACAUCAUGAAGAAGUACCGAGCUGCCCGGGGCCAUCUCAGCCAUCCUCCUGCUGCAGUCACCACCAAGCACACACAUGCCCUGGGAGCCUUGGCACAUGGAUGGUGUGCAGCCCAGGAGAGGGGUUGGAACAGUACUCCUCUGGCCCAGCUUGGUCUCCUUCCUUGGAAUUCUUCAGCUAACACAAUGAAGAUUGAGACCAUGAAAACGCACUCUGCUGUGAGAGUCCCACUCCUCCUUUCUCAGGAGGGAAACACCAGAAAAGACCCCAGAAUUCCCCAUUCCUACAGAUGUUCAAGGCCAGGCUGCACAGGGCUCUGAGCGACCUGAUCGAGUUGAAGAUGUCUCUGCUCACUGCAGGGGGUUGGAGUAGAUGGCCUCUAAAGGUCCCUUCCAACCCAAACCAUACUAUGACUCUAGGAGUCUAGUUUUUAAAACUUAUUUAUUUCAAAUAAUUAUGUUAUUAAUAAUUAUUAUUAACCAUCAUUAAUAUGAGAAAUAUCCAUUCACCUUUCUCUAAGGAAUAUUGAGAUGCAUUUUGCAGAAAAGCUGAUAUGUUUUAGGUGCCUGUAUCACAUAGACACUGAUGGAAUCUAGCCCUACAUCUCAUCGAGGCCGUGCAGUUUGUUCUCCUGUGAAGACACCACAGGCAGUUUAUCCUCCUGACAGGCUGUUGUUUUAUUAUGACAUUUUUCCCCCUUUGCAUUGCAGCCAACAAAUCCAAAUUCCUCAGUAAAAUUUGGUCCAGGGCGCCAACUGCAAGGGGUAAAACGGUGUCAUAAAUAACUUCCAGGGAGCGUAGGGGGUGGAAGAUGAGUCGAACAGAAGCAAAGAUGCAGUUGUAACACUCAAUCAAGUGUAAAUCUCAAUCAAGAUAUCACUGUCCAAUCUCUACAGUCACCAUUCAAGCCACCCUUCCCUUUGCAGGACCUGGGUGAGACCAUCUGAGCUGGACGCUGAUCUCAAAGUCCCGCCUCGUCUCCCCCAGCCAGAAUCGCCUGGAGUUAUGAGAUGGAGCCUGCUGGAUUGUAUAAAUGUUACAUAGUUUAGUGAGUGUAUGAAAGAGGAGUCAGUCUCGAGAGCACGUGGGCAUCAGCUGCUGUUCCUCCUGAGUGCCUGGGACUGCAGAUCUGUGAAAUGAGCAAAAGGGGAGCUUUUUUUUUUGAAAGAUCCAGCUAUUCAGAUGAAAUUUGCCAGGUGUGGAUUUGAAGUCCUAAUUAAGCUCUCACUGUGGUCAAUAGGAUCUUUAUCACAGACUGCAGUGGAAGUCAGACCCUAAACAACCAGCUCAUUUUAACACACAGGCCCUUCUUCUAUCACAUCUUUAGUGAAGCAUACUCUUGAAGUAGGUGUGCAGUUCAGCUGAUGGUCCUUUGGGUAUCAAAGGAUACACGAUCCAUCUACCCUCAAAGAGCAGUAGCACGUGCCAUUAUGGAGACCCCCAAGGAGCCUCCAGCUGGUGGAAACAGAUGACAGUCCCAUGUCAAUCAGCUAGUCUGUGGAGUCAUGCCCAUUUCCAGCAGCUCUGGAUCUGGCUCUGAUGGCAGCCGAACCUCUCCGCCUCUGGGUAAUUGAGGGUUGUCACCAUUCCCGGAGGAUUAGAUCUGAAUCUCAUUGUGCUGGGGCCAGGGCAAGCACUGAGCGAUCCUGUGACCCAGCAUUUGCUGUCGUCUCCAUCUGAACCUUCAUUAAGGUGCAAGAUGGCCUCAAGCUGCGUCAGGGGAGGUUUAGAUUGGAUAUUAGGAAAAAUGUCUUCACUGCAAGAGUGGUCAGGCCCUGGCACAGGCUGCCCAGAGAGAUGGGGGAGUCACCGUCCCUGGGGGCAUUCAGAAAACAUGUAGACGUGGCACUUCAGGGCCUGUUUUAGGAGACAUGAUAGUGUUGGGCUGACGGUUGGACUUGAUGAUCUUUUCCAACCUUGAUGAUUCUAUGAUUAACUUUCAAUGUUGUCAUUAUGAUAUUGCUGGAGGGAAUCGCUGCUGUCUUGGGCAGAGAAGAUAAGUCAGCCAGAGAGCUGAGUAGGAGGGAAGCACUCAAGAAAAUUAUUGCGGUGUAUGCCUGUCAUUGCAUGUGCUCUUUCCUAAUUUUGCUCUGAGAAGCAUCUCCAACCUCUCCUCCACAGCCACCACCCUCGAGUGACCUCCUCCUGUCUCACAGCUUCACCUCCCUGCUCUUCUCAUACAAUAUGCUGCUCCACACCUUGGGCCCAGCCUUGCGUGGACUUCUCCACCAUCGCUGUGUCCAAGGCUACCCCCACCGUCCUCCCUGUCUCUGAGACUUGUUGGCCUGGAGCCCUGGGAGAGUAAUUUCUCCAAUAUCUUCUGUUCACACAGUGAUCUCCCCCUCCCCAUGUUCCAGGUCCUCCCACCUAAUUCAACUCCCUUCUGCACAUUAGGCUUCCUCCAGAAGACUCAGCAACACUAACCCCUCAUCAGUUAAAUGCCCUCUCUGUCCCAGCAACACGUAAGUGUGGAAGGAUAGAUUAAAAUCAUGCUAAAUGAAUACCUGAUGUGGCCUUCCCAGAGUGCCUGUUCUUGUAAAACCAGAAAACUUGGCUGCUGAACUCUUUGGGGCAGGAUCUGUCUUAUAUUUAUAUCCUGUAAAUUUUCAAAUCCAUUGCUGGUGCUAACAA